RNAcentral lists this long non-coding RNA (258 nucleotides) under Lathyrus oleraceus (garden pea). RNAcentral's name for it is "Pisum sativum (pea) long non-coding RNA (PSAT_LNC006667)". The record is from RNAcentral. Lineage: Eukaryota; Viridiplantae; Streptophyta; Magnoliopsida; Fabales; Fabaceae.
AAGUGUGGUGUGACCGGUUGAUGCCAUGUUCACAUGAUUUUUGUUACUUUUAAAUAUUUAUUUAGGUGACACUUUAACUAAAUUAGAUUUUAAUUGGAAGUGGAUCCUGGGCCUGACGCGCAUGUUUUUCCCACCCCCAGAUUUUGGGACCAUUUGUGUGUUUAACUAUUCUCAAGUUCGGGUUUAUUUUGCUGAUGCACCCCCUUGUGCCACUUAAUUCCAUUUUAUUUCUUUUGUUUUAUUUUAUUUUCUGAUUUU